CUACGGGCGGCAGCAGUCGCGAAUCUUUUGCAAUGCGCGCAAGCGUGACAAAGCGAACCAAAGUGAUUUCCGCACAGGAAAUCUUUUCUUCACUUUAAAAAGGUGGAGGAAUAAGGACUGGGUAAGACCGGUGCCAGCCGCCGCGGUAAUCCCGGCAGUCCAAGUUGCAUCCAACAUUAUUGGGUCUAAAACAUCCGUAGCUUGUUUGUUAAGUUUCUUGUGAAAUUCUACAUCUCAAGGGUAGAGCGCGCAAGAAAUACUGACAGACUAGAGACCGGUAGGUGUAAUGAGUACGUCGGAGGUAGUGGUAAAAUACGUUAAUCUUCGAUGGACUAACAAUCAGCGAAGGCACAUUACAAGGACGGAUCUGACAGUGAGGGAUGAAGGCUAGGGGCGCAAAACGGAUUAGAUACCCUUGUAGUC
RNAcentral lists this ribosomal RNA (423 nucleotides) under uncultured archaeon. RNAcentral describes it as "partial 16S ribosomal RNA". It matches the Rfam family "Archaeal small subunit ribosomal RNA", at positions 323 to 746 of the family's 1478-position model. The record is from RNAcentral.